GAGCCAAAGAAAAUAACAAAAAAGAUUACUAAAUCAAAAUCAUUUAUCACAAAAAAGAUACAUGGAAUAAAAUUAAAUAAAAGAAUUCAAUUUCAAUCAUUUGUUUCUAUACAUGAGUUAUGGAACCAAUACAUGAAUGAUAUUUUGCCAGAUAAAAUUCUCAGAUAAAUAUGUAUAAAUCUUAUGCAGAAUUUCCAAAAGAAUGGAAAGAAGCUGGUAGAAAUUUAGGUGUGAAGGAGGUUUCCAACAAGUAUGUAGAAACUUUUUUAAAAAAUAGAAUUCCAAGUUCAAAAUUAAGCAAAAUAGAGGGAAAAAACUUUGAUUUAGAAAAUCUUAACGAGCCAAAGAAAAUAACAAAAAAGAUUACUAAAUCAAAAUCAUUUAUCACAAAAAAGAUACAUGGAAUAAAAUUAAAUAAAAGAAUUCA
RNAcentral lists this long non-coding RNA (427 nucleotides) under Androctonus crassicauda. The record is from RNAcentral. Lineage: Eukaryota; Metazoa; Arthropoda; Arachnida; Scorpiones; Buthidae.